GCGGUUAUACGAGAGACCCAAGUUGAUGCACGUCGGCGUAAAGCGUGGUUAAGGAAAAACUAAAACUAAAGCCGAACACAUGCAAGACCGUUAUACGUAUUCGAAAACAAGAAGUCCAGUUACGAAAGUAGCUUUACACCCCCUGAACCCACGAAAGCUAAGAUA
Molecule: ribosomal RNA, 165 nt
Filed under: Plectranthias fourmanoiri
Lineage: Eukaryota; Metazoa; Chordata; Actinopteri; Perciformes; Anthiadidae
Description: partial 12S ribosomal RNA
Source: RNAcentral